GUUCAGUAUCAUGUCCCUCGGUGUUUGCAUUGUGGUCGCUGGGCUACAGGUGUGGCACCUCAAGGGCUACUUCCACAAGAAGAAGCUUAUUUAAACCGAAUCUCACCAUUGUCCUUUUAGCUGAGUUGGUCGGUUUACUAUAUGAAGAGAUCUCAGAACUGGUAUUUGUGUUACAGAUUUUGGUUGUAUCUAAAUUUUAGUAUGGCAUAUU
Molecule: unclassified non-coding RNA, 211 nt
Filed under: Hevea brasiliensis (rubber tree)
Lineage: Eukaryota; Viridiplantae; Streptophyta; Magnoliopsida; Malpighiales; Euphorbiaceae
Source: RNAcentral